Long non-coding RNA from Canis lupus familiaris (dog), 1110 nucleotides. RefSeq lists it as uncharacterized. The transcript has 3 exons. The record is from RefSeq and is a predicted model, not a curated record. NCBI's taxonomy places the organism in Eukaryota, Metazoa, Chordata, Mammalia, Carnivora, Canidae.
CGGCUGCAUCUUACUCUCCCACUUACUUCGUUUGUCCAAGUCAAGGUAAAGCACUCCCUGCAAACGGGCUGAUCAAAACUGGUACUUAAGGAGCACUCAGAAACCAAGGAAAAUUGUGAAAGAGAUCCGUGAGCCAACAAGCACAAUAAGCAAAACAAUGCGACUCAUUAGGAGGCACCUGGGAGAAACAAACAGGCUUUAAUGAAUUGGCUGAAUGAGUGAUGGAAACCGGCGGCUGAGCUGGUCCCAGCUUGGCAGAGGGAUUGUUCACUCUGGAGAUCUGCAGUCAACUAAUAAGCCUAAUGAUGUUCAAUGAUUCCGCAUUUGGGCACCUUUAAUAAAUCCACUUGCACUGGAUUUAUAGUCUAGCUAUAUCUUUGUUUCUUCCCCUUGCCCUGAAAUUCACUGAUGGAGAGCUGCCUUCCUUUCAUUUCCAAACCAGUUCUCUCCGAGGCCUUGAAACACUUCUGCGAAGAAACCUGAAUUUACAUUGUCUGCGAUAUUAUAUAACUCAUCCUAGUUACAGUAACAACAGGACUGCCAGAAAGCUUUGGAGGCAUCCAGUCUUCAAAGAAAGCUCCAUUGUACUCAGGAAGCAAAGAGGUUUAAAUAUGUGAUUACAAUUGGCCCCGUAUCAUCAUCUCCUAUGUGUUAAACCAAGUUUUAAAGGACGCCUGGUUCUCCGGUUCUCUACAUGUGAGCAGAGCUCCAGCUGUAAUGCCUGUUAGCUUCAGCUCAGAAAAAGAAGAUGGACACAAAACCAAGAGCAGAGCUUUGGCUGAGCUAGCACCCUUUAAAGGACCUUUCUGGAAUCCCCACCCCCCUGCCCUCUCCUUGUAUUGAUUGGCCAGGACCCUGUUGCUUGACCACCCCUGCCUGAAAGGGACAGGGAAAUGCAUGCUGCACCAAAUAAAAUUCAAGUUCUGUUUGUGAGAGAGGAGAAAGAAUAUUGGACAGGCGGCCAGCAGGCUCUGUCACAAAUGAGCAAAGAUGAUCACAGUUAUGUGUAUCUUUGCCUGCAAUCUAGAAAAACAGCAGCUUUUUGUAAGGCAUCUUUGCUGGUUAUUUUUCUCCCGGGCCAUCAUAUUUAAUGCAUCUUUUUAAUGCUCA